RNAcentral lists this non-coding RNA (26 nucleotides) under Rattus norvegicus (Norway rat). The record is from RNAcentral. Lineage: Eukaryota; Metazoa; Chordata; Mammalia; Rodentia; Muridae.
UCUAUACAGUGAAGUGUGAUGCAGUC